GGGUCGAUGAUGAGAACCUUAUAUUGUCUGGAAACAUAAAAAUCAUGCUCAAUAGGAUCCCACACGCUGAGGCCC
Molecule: small nucleolar RNA, 75 nt
Filed under: Papio anubis (olive baboon)
Lineage: Eukaryota; Metazoa; Chordata; Mammalia; Primates; Cercopithecidae
Description: Small nucleolar RNA SNORD115 (ENSPANG00000038032.1)
Rfam family: Small nucleolar RNA SNORD115
About the family: HBII-52 is a member of the C/D class of snoRNAs, which contain the C (UGAUGA) and D (CUGA) box motifs. HBII-52 is encoded in a tandemly repeated array with another C/D snoRNA, HBII-85, in the Prader-Willi syndrome (PWS) region of chromosome 15.
Source: Rfam by way of RNAcentral